Molecule: ribosomal RNA, 253 nt
Filed under: uncultured Thiohalomonas sp.
Lineage: Bacteria; Pseudomonadati; Pseudomonadota; Gammaproteobacteria; Thiohalomonadales; Thiohalomonadaceae
Description: partial 16S ribosomal RNA
Rfam family: Bacterial small subunit ribosomal RNA
Source: RNAcentral
UACGGAGGGUGCAAGCGUUAAUCGGAAUUACUGGGCGUAAAGCGAGUGUAGGCGGCUGCAUAAGUCGGAUGUGAAAUCCCCGGGCUUAACCUGGGAAUGGCAUUCGAUACUGUGCGGCUAGAGUCUGAUAGAGGGAAGUGGAAUUCCAGGUGUAGCGGUGAAAUGCGUAGAUAUCUGGAAGAACAUCAGUGGCGAAGGCGGCUUCCUGGAUCAAGACUGACGCUGAGGCUCGAAAGCGUGGGGAUCAAACAGG